This 999-nucleotide long non-coding RNA is filed under the name Medicago truncatula (barrel medic). RNAcentral describes it as "long non-coding RNA (MTRU_LNC008884)". The record is from RNAcentral. Lineage: Eukaryota; Viridiplantae; Streptophyta; Magnoliopsida; Fabales; Fabaceae.
AAAAAUUAGUACCUUUUGUCACAAUCAAUAUCGUCAUCUAUUUGGAAAAAAAAAAAAUGGCAUCAAACUGUUCAAGUUGUUGGUUCAAGAGUUGAAAUCCUCUCCAUUUCUUUUUGAUUCAGAAGGACUGGAAGAUAUUUGGUCAUGCAGGGAUAAAAAGUUUUGAAAUGGGCAAAUGAUUUGUAGAAUGGAAAAGAGGUAAAAUAUUCAAUAUGCAAAAGAAGUUAUACGAUAUGAGCAUAGUUUAUUUUUAAAUGUGAAUGUGAGGAGGAUUAAACUAAAUACCCGAAAUAAAUGGGGAUUUUUUUUAUUAAAGCCUCGCCCCAAAAUUCUAAAUACUCGUGAGUUUAAUAAUACAUAGUUGCCUUGCAUUUGUUCACCUUUUCCUCCCUCCUUUACCUCUUUUAUAGGCGUGUGGGGAGAGAAGAAUUAGUGGUUGUUCUCUAUAAGUCACUAUGUCAGAAUCAAUCUGAUCAUAGAAAUAGGAACAUAUCUUAACUCUUCAUAGCUCAUCCUUGACAUCGCUAUUGCUACUUUGGUUCUCUUUGGCAUCAGAACUCUCCUUGGCAUCAGUGCUCUCUGGUUUAGGAGUUGAGGCUGGUUUCUGGAGCUUGAAUGGGAUUGAUGCAUGCUGCUUGAGGAACUUGUAAAAGGCUACCACAGUACGAUCUGUCUCAACAGUAAUCUGCAAACACAAUAAAGCAAUUAUAAAUGUCAAUCACAUAAUGAUAAACCAUAUGCAGAUCAGUCUCGCACACACACGGGAGCAUAUCUAUAUUUAACAAAGCUGAAUUGAUAAAAAUAUGUACUGUUGCUUAUAUUCACUUACAGGAUCAAAACUUUUGUUUCCUGCUGGGAAGAAGAGAAGAGUGGGGAAUCCAUCAGACUGCAAAGUGAACAUAAAUCAAGAUUGAUCAAUAAGUUAUUGGAUGUAGGAUAAAAAAUUCAAAAGUUAGCAUAAGUUGUACCAAAUAUCGUUACAGUAACAGCAUAUACCCA